GGACGAACGCUGGCGGCGUGCCUAAUACAUGCAAGUCGAGCGGACCGAAUAGAAGCUUGCUUCUAUUUGGUUAGCGGCGGACGGGUGAGUAACACGUGGGCAACCUGCCCUGUAGACGGGGAUAACACCGAGAAAUCGGUGCUAAUACCGGAUAAUACGGAAUGUCGCAUGACGUUUCGUUGAAAGGCGGCGCAAGCUGUCGCUACAGGAUGGGCCCGCGGCGCAUUAGCUAGUUGGUGAGGUAACGGCUCACCAAGGCGACGAUGCGUAGGCCGACCUGAGAGGGUGAUCGGCCACACUGGGACUGAAGACACGGCCCAGAACUCCUACGGGAGGCAGCAGUAGGGAAUCUUCCGCAAUGGACGAAAAGUCUGACGGAGCAACGCCGCGUGAGCGAAAAGCCUUCGGUCGUAAAGCUCUGUUGUUAGGGAAGAACAAGUACGCAGUAACUGGCGUUACUUUGACGGUACCUAACGAGGAAGCCACGGCUAACUACGUGCCAGCAGCCGCGGUAAUACGUAGUGGCAAGCGUU
This 533-nucleotide ribosomal RNA is filed under the name Anoxybacillus sp. SSCA22. RNAcentral's name for it is "bacterial SSU rRNA". It matches the Rfam family "Bacterial small subunit ribosomal RNA", at positions 27 to 542 of the family's 1533-position model. Lineage: Bacteria; Bacillati; Bacillota; Bacilli; Caryophanales; Anoxybacillaceae. The record is from RNAcentral.